RNAcentral lists this ribosomal RNA (674 nucleotides) under Niallia circulans. RNAcentral describes it as "bacterial SSU rRNA". It matches the Rfam family "Bacterial small subunit ribosomal RNA", at positions 119 to 777 of the family's 1533-position model. Lineage: Bacteria; Bacillati; Bacillota; Bacilli; Caryophanales; Bacillaceae. The record is from RNAcentral.
GGGCAACCUGCCUGUAAGACUGGGAUAACUUCGGGAAACCGGAGCUAAUACCGGAUAAUCCUUUUCUACUCAUGUAGAAAAGCUGAAAGACGGUUUACGCUGUCACUUACAGAUGGGCCCGCGGCGCAUUAGCUAGUUGGUGAGGUAACGGCUCACCAAGGCGACGAUGCGUAGCCGACCUGAGAGGGUGAUCGGCCACACUGGGACUGAGACACGGCCCAGACUCCUACGGGAGGCAGCAGUAGGGAAUCUUCCGCAAUGGACGAAAGUCUGACGGAGCAACGCCGCGUGAGUGAUGAAGGUUUUCGGAUCGUAAAACUCUGUUGUUAGGGAAGAACAAGUACGAGAGUAACUGCUCGUACCUUGACGGUACCUAACCAGAAAGCCACGGCUAACUACGUGCCAGCAGCCGCGGUAAUACGUAGGUGGCAAGCGUUGUCCGGAAUUAUUGGGCGUAAAGCGCGCGCAGGCGGUCCUUUAAGUCUGAUGUGAAAGCCCACGGCUCAACCGUGGAGGGUCAUUGGAAACUGGGGGACUUGAGUGCAGAAGAGAAGAGUGGAAUUCCACGUGUAGCGGUGAAAUGCGUAGAGAUGUGGAGGAACACCAGUGGCGAAGGCGACUACUUAUGGUCUGUAACUGACGCUGAGGCGCGAAAGCGUGGGGAGCAAACAGGA